CGCAAUUUAUUAACCAGAAGCAACGAGAAAGAAAAAGAAAACAGAAAAUGGCUCAAAUGGCUACUUUGACAGGAAAGCAAGCUAAUGAAUACUUGAACGCAAGGCCAACAUAUCCCACGAUAUGGUACAAAGUGUUGGCUGGUCGAACCAGCAACCAUAAGGUCGCUUGGGAUGUUGGAACCGGCAACGGUCAAGCUGCUCUUGGUGUCGCUGAUUACUACGAAAAAGUGGUGGCAACUGAUAUAAACGAAAAACAAAUCAGUCUUGCAAAGCCGCACCCAAAAGUCACAUACCUUCACACUCCAGCAUCGAUGUCAGACGACGAUCUAGUGGCUAAACUCGGUGGAGAAAACUCCAUAGAUUUCAUUGUAGCCGCUCAAUCUCUCCACUAUUUCGACCUUAAAAGAUUCUAUGCCAUAGUGAGACGUGUUCUUCGUAAAGAAGGGGGUGUGAUCGCGGUUUGGGUCUACAACGACCUCGUGGUCACCCCAACGGUUGAUUCCAUCAUGAAACGUUUGGUAGAUUCAACGAAACCGUACAGAACCCCGACUAUGAAUCUGGCGUUUGAUGGUUAUAAAGCAAUAGAGUUUCCUUUUAAAAAUAUAAGACUUGGGAGUCAAGGAAGACCUAAAGCUCUCGAGAUUCCACAUAAGCUUUCGCUUGAUGGGUAUUUAGGGUUUUUUAAAUCUUGGCAGCCUCUGGUGAAGGCUAAGGAGCAAGGAGUAGAGCUUUUAAAACCUUCGAUGAUUAAUGAGUUUAAGGAGGCUUGGGGUGAUCAGAAUCAAGUCAAAGAUGUUGCUUACAGGGCAUUUAUGCUCGCUGGAAAACUUUAGGAUUACGGAACUGCACAAGUAUACAAGUAGAGCAUACAGUGUACGCUACACGCCGCGUCUACGACUUGUACAAACUCAAUUUCACACGAGUCUUCGUCUCCAUCGUCAAUGUGAAAGUGAUUAUCUUUACUUAUUUAAAUUCUAUGUAUAUUCUAAUUUCAUAUCUAUAAUUUCCAUUUACCCAAAGUCACGAUAUAUUUUUCAAAUGAGUUGAACGAUUCUUGGUGAAAUUGGUAAAAAACUUCUCAUAAGUUGAUUAUUCGAAUAUCAAGAAAAGUAACUUGAUGUUAUUAUCUUGAAUCUGCAAGUCCUAACUAAGAGUUUUAUUCAUGACCCCGUCAACAAAAAAAUGUAUAAGGCUAUCGAGCAUGAUAACUUUUCAAAAUAUUAUACUAUGAAAAUUCAUAAAACUAACAAAGUCUAUGUUAAAUAUUCUAAAAUGAUAAUGUAUAUGGAAAGUAUAAAGCAAUACACAAGAACAUUUUGAUUUUUAUUAGAGUACAAGCCCAAUCGGAUUGAUACACUCUCAUCCUCUGCAAACUUUGACCACUUUGCGAUAAUAUAUCAAAAUUAGAAACUUUUUUGAGUAUUUGCAGUGUACACACAAGAAUUAUGUCUUAUUUAGGUGGAUACCCAUUCACGAUUUUCGACACUUUCUUCAAAAAUUGUUGGACGAUUAUACCCCUAUUUCUGUUGUCACACAAGUUGAUAUUUUUUAAUAAUUUAAAUAUUUAUUAUGAAUAUUUAUCAUAAAAUACAAUUUUUCUCUCUCUAUCUUAAAAAAAGAAUCUAACGAAAGGCAUCUCACUUCUCCUUACUACCAUCCUUUCCACCCCCACCAGCACCACCACACUCCCACCACGUCUCCGCCGCACCUUCCAGUAAUGAUAAUUUUCCACAACCUAACGAUGUAUCUUCUUCUUCUCCUUCUCAUCUCGCGGUUUACCCUCACUCCGCGCCGUCGUCUUCAGCUCUGACGGCUCCGAUUGAGCCCAGUCAGGAGAAAGAAAAGUCGUCCCAGGAAGUACGACACCCGGUGCAAGCCUUAUCUGCUAAUAAAUUGGCAUCUUUCGCCACCGGUGAGCUUUGGUAUGGACCUGUUUGGUUCAGCUUUUCGCCGCCUGUGAGCUUUGGUCUUCCUCCUCCGAGUCAAAAAUUAUACCAGCAAUGGUUCUAUUUGCACCUGUGUAGUGGUGGACUGAAUCAAAUUUUAUUCAUAAAGAUUGCAGACACUAUGUUUUGUUUUGACCACCAAAGAUGUGUGUGUCCCUUUUUUUUUGGAUUUCGAUUUGCACAUGUUAGCAACAUACAUUUGCUCACUACCUUGCUAUGAAUUUGCUUAGCUUCUAUUUAUGAAUAUUGCCCUCAUUAUGGUCUGCUUAUAAUCUACAAACUGCAAAACAUUUUCUCGUUUUUUCAUAUUUUUAACAUUGUUAUUCAAGUAAAUGUUUCAGGUUCUAGUCGCCGACGAUCAUGAGGCUGAAGAAGUCUCUAAGGGUGACGGGACCGACAUUGUCCAGCAAAACAAGUUCUAGACCUGGGAAUUUUACCCUGACAUUCAUUUAAAUCUAACAGCUACACAUCAUAAUAAGAAACAAUCUCCUGCAGACUUUGUCAACCAACCAACAUCAGCUUUAGUGCACCGCGAUGCCAAUUCAGAUUUGGUUUGUAGUUUUGCUUCUCGCCAAUCUCUGCAUCUAAACGACGGACACUCUCGACACGAGACUUGGAGCCCUCUGAGAUUUUCUAUUAUCUUAAUCGUGUUGUUAUUUUGUGAUGUUGUCUGAGCACCCUUUGGAUGUUUCUGGUUCUCGCUUUUGAUGUAUUAAUGAACUACGACUAUGUAAUAUUGAACCUUGUUUGAGUUUUGAAACAUCUCUGUUUAAACACAA
Raphanus sativus (radish) is the source of this 2725-nucleotide RNA transcript. RefSeq lists it as uncharacterized. The transcript is spliced from 6 exons. The record is from RefSeq and is a predicted model, not a curated record. NCBI's taxonomy places the organism in Eukaryota, Viridiplantae, Streptophyta, Magnoliopsida, Brassicales, Brassicaceae.